Molecule: ribosomal RNA, 117 nt
Filed under: Hymenobacter lutimineralis
Lineage: Bacteria; Pseudomonadati; Bacteroidota; Cytophagia; Cytophagales; Hymenobacteraceae
Description: Hymenobacter sp. KIGAM108 partial 16S ribosomal RNA
Rfam family: Bacterial small subunit ribosomal RNA
Source: RNAcentral
UACAAUGGAGAGUUUGAUCCUGGCUCAGGAUGAACGCUAGCGGCAGGCCUAAUACAUGCAAGUCGAACGGACGGUAGCAAUACCGUUAGUGGCGCACGGGUGCGUAACGCGUAACCA